This 468-nucleotide ribosomal RNA is filed under the name uncultured bacterium. RNAcentral's name for it is "partial 16S ribosomal RNA". It matches the Rfam family "Bacterial small subunit ribosomal RNA", at positions 28 to 507 of the family's 1533-position model. The record is from RNAcentral.
GACGAACGCUGGCGGCGUGCUUAACACAUGCAAGUCGAACGGAAAGGCCCUGCUUUUGUGGGGUGCUCGAGUGGCGAAAGGGUGAGUAACACGUGAGUAACCUGCCCUUGACUUUGGGAUAACUUCAGGAAACUGGGGCUAAUACCGGAUAGGAGCUCCUGCUGCAUGGUGGGGGUUGGAAAGUUUCGGCGGUUGGGGAUGGACUCGCGGCUUAUCAGCUUGUUGGUGGGGUAGUGGCUUACCAAGGCUUUGACGGGUAGCCGGCCUGAGAGGGUGACCGGCCACAUUUGGACUGAGAUACGGCCCAGACUCCUACGGGAGGCAGCAGUGGGGAAUAUUGCACAAUGGGCGGAAGCCUGAUGCAGCAACGCCGCGUGCGGGAUGACGGCCUUCGGGUUGUAAACCGCUUUCGCCUGUGACGAAGCGUGAGUGACGGUAAUGGGUAAAGAAGCACCGGCUAACUACGUG